This 102-nucleotide non-coding RNA is filed under the name Listeria booriae. Its description in RNAcentral is "Purine riboswitch aptamer". It matches the Rfam family "Purine riboswitch aptamer". Rfam says of the family: Riboswitches are metabolite binding domains within certain messenger RNAs that serve as precision sensors for their corresponding targets. Allosteric rearrangement of mRNA structure is mediated by ligand binding, and this results in modulation of gene expression. A class of riboswitches that selectively recognises guanine and becomes saturated at concentrations as low as 5 nM. Lineage: Bacteria; Bacillati; Bacillota; Bacilli; Caryophanales; Listeriaceae. The record is from Rfam by way of RNAcentral. RNAcentral also lists the same sequence under 1 other name.
UGAGCUAAAAUAAGAAGAUGUCGUAUAUGUCUGGGAAUAGGGCCCGGACGUUUCUACUCAGCUACCGUAAAUGGCUGAACUACGAGCAAUAGCAUAUGCAGU